RNAcentral lists this long non-coding RNA (281 nucleotides) under Dromaius novaehollandiae (emu). RNAcentral describes it as "lncRNA (ENSDNVG00000003008.1)". The record is from RNAcentral. Lineage: Eukaryota; Metazoa; Chordata; Aves; Casuariiformes; Dromaiidae.
GCCARCUUAAGAAAUAAUGACCUACCAAAAGGCAGCUAUAAUGGGACAAAUUCAGAUGUAGAGACAGAUGAUUUCAGUUUGUACCAGUAGAACUGAUCUCAGCUUUGGGACAAAUCACUGGUGGGCUGGAUGGAGUGGAAAGAGAACAGCUUAGAAGAUGUCUUGGCUUUCAGAACAACCUGGAAUUGAGGAAAUUUCCUUUGAAGCCUUUGAAGCACUGUAAGUAAGUAAGAAAGAAAAGAUAAAUCCUCUGUUCUCCUCCCCUGUAGAGAUACGUAAGU